Molecule: transfer RNA, 74 nt
Filed under: bacterium
Lineage: Bacteria
Also listed under: 2 other names
Description: tRNA-Arg
Rfam family: tRNA
About the family: Transfer RNA (tRNA) molecules are approximately 80 nucleotides in length.
Source: RNAcentral
GCGCCCGUAGCUCAGUUGGAUAGAGCGCCGGACUACGAAUCCGUAGGUCGGGGGUUCGAAUCCCUCCGGGCGCG